Molecule: ribosomal RNA, 253 nt
Filed under: uncultured bacterium
Lineage: Bacteria
Description: partial 16S ribosomal RNA
Rfam family: Bacterial small subunit ribosomal RNA
Source: RNAcentral
UACGAAGGGUGCAAGCGUUACUCGGAAUUACUGGGCGUAAAGCGUGCGUAGGCGGUUUGUUAAGUCCGUUGUGAAAGCCCUGGGCUCAACCUGGGAAUUGCAGUGGAUACUGGCGAGCUAGAGUGCGGUAGAGGAUGGUGGAAUUCCCGGUGUAGCGGUGAAAUGCGUAGAUAUCUGGAGGAACACCGGUGGCGAAGGCGGCAUCCUGGACCGGCAUUGACGCUGAGGAGCGAAAGCCAGGGGAGCAAACGGG